RNAcentral lists this ribosomal RNA (1429 nucleotides) under uncultured organism. RNAcentral describes it as "16S ribosomal RNA". It matches the Rfam family "Bacterial small subunit ribosomal RNA". The record is from RNAcentral.
CAGGCUUAACACAUGCAAGUCGAGGGGCAUCAGGAAGAAAGCUUGCUUUCUUUGCUGGCGACCGGCGCACGGGUGAGUAACACGUAUCCAACCUGCCCUUUACUCGGGGAUAGCCUUCCGAAAGAAAGAUUAAUACCCGAUGGCAUAAUGAUUCCGCAUGGUUUCAUUAUUAAAGGAUUCCGGUAAAGGAUGGGGAUGCGUUCCAUUAGGUUGUUGGUGGGGUAACGGCUCACCAAGCCUUCGAUGGAUAGGGGUUCUGAGAGGAAGGUCCCCCACAUUGGAACUGAGACACGGUCCAAACUCCUACGGGAGGCAGCAGUGAGGAAUAUUGGUCAAUGGGCGCUAGCCUGAACCAGCCAAGUAGCGUGAAGGAUGAAGGCUCUAUGGGUCGUAAACUUCUUUUAUAUAAGAAUAAAGUGCAGUAUGUAUACUGUUUUGUAUGUAUUAUAUGAAUAAGGAUCGGCUAACUCCGUGCCAGCAGCCGCGGUAAUACGGAGGAUCCGAGCGUUAUCCGGAUUUAUUGGGUUUAAAGGGAGCGUAGGUGGACUGGUAAGUCAGUUGUGAAAGUUUGCGGCUCAACCGUAAAAUCGCAGUUGAUACUGUCAGUCUUGAGUACAGUAGAGGUGGGCGGAAUUCGUGGUGUAGCGGUGAAAUGCUUAGAUAUCACGAAGAACUCCGAUUGCGAAGGCAGCUCACUGGACUGCAACUGACACUGAUGCUCGAAAGUGUGGGUAUCAAACAGGAUUAGAUACCCUGGUAGUCCACACAGUAAACGAUGAAUACUCGCUGUUUGCGAUAUACAGUAAGCGGCCAAGCGAAAGCAUUAAGUAUUCCACCUGGGGAGUACGCCGGCAACGGUGAAACUCAAAGGAAUUGACGGGGGCCCGCACAAGCGGAGGAACAUGUGGUUUAAUUCGAUGAUACGCGAGGAACCUUACCCGGGCUUAAAUUGCAGUGGAAUGAUGUGGAAACAUGUCAGUGAGCAAUCACCGCUGUGAAGGUGCUGCAUGGUUGUCGUCAGCUCGUGCCGUGAGGUGUCGGCUUAAGUGCCAUAACGAGCGCAACCCUUAUCUUUAGUUACUAACAGGUCAUGCUGAGGACUCUAGAGAGACUGCCGUCGUAAGAUGUGAGGAAGGUGGGGAUGACGUCAAAUCAGCACGGCCCUUACGUCCGGGGCUACACACGUGUUACAAUGGGGGGUACAGAAGGCAGCUAGCGGGUGACCGUAUGCUAAUCCCAAAAUCCUCUCUCAGUUCGGAUCGAAGUCUGCAACCCGACUUCGUGAAGCUGGAUUCGCUAGUAAUCGCGCAUCAGCCACGGCGCGGUGAAUACGUUCCCGGGCCUUGUACACACCGCCCGUCAAGCCAUGGGAGCCGGGGGUACCUGAAGUACGUAACAGCAAGGAUCGUCCUAGGGUAAAACUGGUGAC